AGUGAACGCUGGCGGUGGGCCUAACACAUGCAAGUUGAACGGCAGCACAGUAAGAGCUUGCUCUUACGGGUGGCGAGUGGCGGACGGGUGAGGAAUACAUCGGAAUCUACUUUUUCGUGGGGGAUAACGUAGGGAAACUUACGCUAAUACCGCAUACGACCUACGGGUGAAAGCAGGGGAUCUUCGGACCUUGCGCGAUUGAAUGAGCCGAUGUCGGAUUAGCUAGUUGGCGGGGUAAAGGCCCACCAAGGCGACGAUCCGUAGCUGGUCUGAGAGGAUGAUCAGCCACACUGGAACUGAGACACGGUCCAGACUCCUACGGGAGGCAGCAGUGGGGAAUAUUGGACAAUGGGCGCAAGCCUGAUCCAGCCAUACCGCGUGGGUGAAGAAGGCCUUCGGGUUGUAAAGCCCUUUUGCUGGGAAAGAAAAGCAGCAGGUUAAUACCCCGCUGUUCUGACGGUACCCAAAGAAUAAGCACCGGCUAACUUCGUG
Molecule: ribosomal RNA, 492 nt
Filed under: uncultured bacterium
Lineage: Bacteria
Description: partial 16S ribosomal RNA
Rfam family: Bacterial small subunit ribosomal RNA
Source: RNAcentral